RNAcentral lists this unclassified non-coding RNA (4733 nucleotides) under Hevea brasiliensis (rubber tree). The record is from RNAcentral. Lineage: Eukaryota; Viridiplantae; Streptophyta; Magnoliopsida; Malpighiales; Euphorbiaceae.
CAAAGAUCAGUAACUUGCCAUUUCUCUUUCUUUUUUUGGUAAAAUUAACUUCAAUUAAAAUUCAAACUCGAAACUUAUGGAGCUAAAGUUCAAGCUCAAUGGUAACUUGCCAUUCCUUUUGAUUAUGAUGAACAAAGUGUGUUGUAUUCUUCCCUUUAAAAGACCCAAAUGGGAAAGAAACAAAAUGAAGCAAUGCAGCAAAGAAAAAAAUUUAAAUUAAUGGAACCCUCCAACAACAUCCCCUGUAAUUUGUUUCAAACCAGCUUAUGCCGUCUUCUCCUUUGUUCUGUAUCUCCGACUCCUUUCCACAAAUUUGAGAAUCUCAUCAAUUAGAAUCACAGGAGCUGAAACCAAGAUGACUAGAAGCCACUCAUUCAGGCUCAAUGGGACAAUACUAAACACAUCUUCCAGGAAGGGAACAUAGAGUAAGAGGCAAUGGAGUCCAAAUGAGACUGACAUGGCAACUAAAAGCCAAGGAUUCCUCCAAGGUGGCAUUGUGACCAAGCUGUUCUCCUCAGAAAGAGCAUUCAUGGAGUUGAACAUCUCGAUUGCUACUAGUACAGAGAGUGAAAGAGUCAUUGCCUUCACUUUACCAACUGAGAAAUAGUCACAAGGGUUUGAAAAAGUGAUCAUGCGUCCACCAACAGAGUAUGGAGCCACACUGAAAUUUGACCAUUUAGAACACUCCCCCCAAUUGCGAAGCUGAGAUAGUUCAACAAGAGUGUGCCCAUCACUUACAAGAUUGAUACCCAGAAAAGAAGAUUGGGUGUACCACAAGAUGAAGAUUCCGACUGUUGCAAUGCCUACAUAAGAACCAAUAACCAAAUAACGGAGGAGAACCCAAGAAUUUAUUAGAGCAUCGUUGCUUUUGCGUGGUGGUUUCUGCAUUACGUCAACGUCAGCAGGGUUAAAACCAAGGGCUGUUGCAGGCGGACCAUCGGUAACCAAAUUCACCCACAAAAGCUGCACAGGUAUUAUACACUCUGGUAUACCCAGUGCAGCAGUUAAAAAUAUGGACAUCACCUCACCAACAUUAGAUGAUAUCAUAUACCUGAUAAAAGCUUUCAUGUUGUUAUAUAUUGAGCGACCCUCUGCAACUGCUGAAACAAUGGUACUAAAAUUAUCGUCUGCCAAAACCAUAUCUGAAGCUUCCUUGGCCACCUGCAAAGAAGAACGUCGAAUGCAUUCCCAUGACUUCUGAAAAAAUUUACCCUCAUGGCACGAGGUUAAAACAAAAAUUAAAUUUCAAAUUGAAAUCUAGUUAAAUGUACAAGUUCAUUUAACCGCUGCAAAGAAAAUUGGAGAAUGCUGUCAUUGGAUGCAAUAACAUGUUUUUCAGCUCUUGGCCAAAAUUCAUGAGAUUGCCUCAAAUGUUCUCAUUAAGCUUUAAUGGAUCUUGACUAGCUUGCCUCAGUUCCUGUUAUACCCAUGGCAAUUCCAAUGUCCGCAAGUUUAAGAGCAGGUGCAUCGUUUACACCGUCUCCAGUCAUGGCAACAAUCUCACCCAUAUCCUUCAGCAACCGUACAAUUUCUUGCUUAUGCCUAGGCUCUGCACGGGAGAACACCUUUCCUCCAGGUUUAGACAAAAUUUCUAUUUGUUGUGAAGGGGGAACAGCCAUGAACUCUUUACCCGUAAAACUAUUUCCUCUAAGAUCUUCAUCUUCGUAAAACAGCUUGAUUUCUUUACAGAUUGCCUCUGCUGUGGACUUGUUAUCACCAGUUAUCACCAUGACUCUAAUACCAGCACCUCUACAAUCCUGGAUUGCUUUAUGAACUUCAUCUCGUGGAGGGUCCCUUAGACCAACCACUGCUACAAAAACCAGAUCACUUUCGAUGGAGGAGUAGCAACCUGGAUCAAGCAACUUCUUGUGGGCAGGAUGAUUCUCACCGUAGUAGUCUGAAAAUUCUCCCAAGUCAUCCUUAUAUGCCAGUCCCAAGCACCGUAAUCCUUUGGAGCUCAUCUCCAGAAGUCUCGAAAGUAGCAACUGCCUGCAAGGUUCAUCAAUGGGAACAAGAGAUCCAUCUGCAAGUUGUACGUGUGAACUGCGCUCCAAUAAACUCUCAACGGCUCCCUGCAGAUCUCAAAAGUCACACAUCCAUCUCCAUAAACUAGUAGAUGAAUAUCAUUCAACAAAUCAAGGUAGGAACUAAGACAAACAAGCAGCAUGAGCAUGAGCCAAAAGAAGAAAUUUAACAACUCUGAAAAAAGAAAAAAGUUAGCAUUAACCAAACCACUAGGAUAAAACCAUAUUCCCCAAAUUAUAAGUGUUAAAUCACCAAGAUUUUUAUGUUUAGAAUAAGGCACCAAAAUGAAAUAAACUUUGAAAAAAAAUCUUGAACGCUAGGCAACAUUAGCAACGUCAAACUUGGCAAAGCCUUCUCAAAACACUCAGCUAAACUUUCACUAGACUGGGUAAACAUGUCAACCAAGCAGUCACUUAGCCAGGUAUCGAGUAAACUUGGCAAAAUAUGAGAAUUAGGAUGUCUUGUACUCCGUUAUAACAAGGUUAAUCAGAUUGAAAGUCAGUAAUUGCGAAGAUCUCCAUGGAUCACCUUGACAAGAAGUCGAUUGUGCCCACUGGGCUUCCUGACGAUAACACCCAUUGACUUCCUAAUGCGAUCAAACUCCAAUGUGGCAACCCUUUUCGAUCUUUUAGUCCACCAGUCACAACUUACUAAUUUUACCGUGCUACGAUCAAUCAAAUAGUUUGCAACACGUUCAGUGUCACGAAUUUUAUUCCUUGCCUUGACAUCUGGGAUUCCCAUCUUCUCAACCAAAACCUUGAGAGCUGCCUCAGUGGGCAAACCCAUAGCUCGGAACAAACGCCCAUCACAAAAGAUCCCAGCGUCGUUGCAAACGGCACAUAUUUCUGCCAUGGCUUGCAAAUUAGCAUCCAUGUUGUAACAAGUCCAAUCAACAAUUCCCCCAUCCUUAGGAUCAUAGGUUGUUCCUUCAACAUGAAAAAUUCUGGAAGAAGUAGUUUUCCCACCCAAAGUAAAAAAUUCUGUCACAGACAUCUGGUUUGUGGUUAAAGUCCCAGUUUUAUCUGAACAAAUCACAGUUGUGCAUCCCAAUGUUUCUACGCUUGGAAGCUUUCUUACAAUUGCAUUUUUUUGUGCCAUUUUCCUGGUACCCAGUGCUAAACAAGUCGUGAUUACCGCAGGAAGGCCUUCAGGUAUUGCUGCUACAGCUAGAGCAAUGGCAAUCUUGAAAUAGUAUGUGCAUUUCUCAAAAGAAAAUCGAAUAUUUGCUGGCCAUCCAUCUGCAACAUCCCAUGAGAGGAAAUUUUUGUAAUUUAUGACCCACACGAUGAGGCAAACAAGUCCAAUUACAGUCGUAAGCCUACCUCCAAACUCAUCCAGCUUCUUCUUCAAAGGUGUAUCAUUGUCUUCCAAAGAAGCCUCAUGUAUUUGCUUCUGUAUUUUUCCAAUCUCAGUAUUCAUCCCAGUGUUUAUAACGAUACAAACACAGCUUCCAUUCACAACUGUUGUGCCUGCAAAAACCAUGUUUUCCUUAGCCUGCAGCUCACAGUCGUCCAUGAAUAUGGGAGUGGUGCCUUUCAAGACAGGCAUAGCCUCCCCGGUCAAUGAGCUUUGCUCUACUCUCAAUGUUGACGUCUUCAAAGCUGCAAUUCUCAUGUCAGCGGGCACCUUAUCCCCAACCCGCAAUUCCACUAUAUCCCCAGGAACAAGCUCCCUCGCUGGCAAGUCCGGUACCCAAUACUCAUCCCUUAGAACCUUUGCUGAUUCACAUUGCAUCUCCUUGAGGGCUUCAAGUGCCCUCUCAGCAUUACUCUCUUGCCACACCCCAACAAUGGCAUUAAGGACCAAAAUCAACACUAUAACAAAUGGUUCCACAUAGUCUUCGAACCCAGACUCUCCCCUAGAUUCACUUCCAUGCAAAUAAGCUAAAAUAAAUGAUAUAAAGGCCGCAACCAGAAGAAUUUUCACAAGCGUGUCAUCAAAUUGUUCUAAUACCAGCUGCCAUAAGGGCUUACCCUUCUCUUUGGCGAGUUCAUUCCAGCCAUAUCUCUCACGCCGCUUCUCAACCUCAUAUGAACUCAGACCCUUGUCCAGCUUCACAUUGUACUCUUUUAAACACUGCUCAACAGACCAUGACCAUGCAGGGAACGGUCUUCCCUCCAUUGCUUUUGUCUUGAAGUUCAAAAUUCUACUCCAGACAAAAGUUUGGAUGAAGUGCUCUCCGAAUCAUAUCAGAAUCCCAAUUAGUUACUGGGGACCUUUCUCCGUAUCUUCACAACCACCAUAAGUAAUGUCACCCGUAACCACAAACCGGAGAGAAAGAGCGGAGUUAAUGAAAAUAACCAUACAUCUCAAAAUAUGCAGUAGCUCUGACCUCUGAGCUUCUAGCAACUAGCAUACCAAACCCAACCACUUAUUGCUGACAAUUGAUAUAUAAUCUUAAAAUCCACCCGCCAGAAAACAAGUAAUUCUCAUAACAAACAGAAAACCAGAACAAAAGUAGCAAGCACAGAGUAUAGAGCAAACCAGAAACAAAAACCACACGCUUUACAUUAAAUAAACUAUAAGCAGGAGCUGCAACAUCAUAAAUGAACAAUAAUCUUUUACCCAUGAAUCGAAACGGGCAUUCCAACCACAGCACAAAGGAACCAAACUCCAGGGAAGAAAAAAAAAAUGGAAAAAUAAGUAGACCUUUGGAAAGAAGUUGGCAAUAAAGUUGGCUUGAAGACAAAGCAAACCCCAAAGAAAAU